AACGAGAGACCCGGUGAAAUUAUACUACCUGUGAAGAUGCAGGUUACCCGCGACAGGACGGAAAGACCCCGUGGAGCUUUACUGCAGCCUGAUAUGGAAUUUUGGUAUCGCUUGUACAGGAUAGGUGGGAGCCUGGGAAGCCGGAGCGCCAGCUUCGGUGGAGGCGGCGGUGGGAUACCACCCUGGCGGUAUUGAAGUUCUAACCCGCACCCCUGAUCGGGGUGGGAGACAGUGUCAGGCGGGCAGUUUGACUGGGGCGGUCGCCUCCCAAAAAGUAACGGAGGCGCCCAAAGGUUCCCUCAGAAUGGUUGGAAAUCAUUCGGAGAGUGCAAAGGCACAAGGGAGCUUGACUGCGAGACGGACAGGUCGAGCAGGGACGAAAGUCGGGCUUAGUGAUCCGGUGGUUCCGCAUGGAAGGGCCAUCGCUCAACGGAUAAAAGCUACCCCGGGGAUAACAGGCUGAUCUCCCCCAAGAGUCCACAUCGACG
RNAcentral lists this ribosomal RNA (488 nucleotides) under Geobacillus stearothermophilus. RNAcentral's name for it is "partial 23S ribosomal RNA". It matches the Rfam family "Bacterial large subunit ribosomal RNA", at positions 2023 to 2510 of the family's 2925-position model. Lineage: Bacteria; Bacillati; Bacillota; Bacilli; Caryophanales; Anoxybacillaceae. The record is from RNAcentral.